GGAGCGGCAGACGGGAGAGUAACACGUGGGAACGUACCCUUUGGUUCGGAACAACCCAGGGAAACUUGGGCUAAUACCGGAUAAGCCCUCACGGGGAAAGAUUUAUCGCCGAAGGAUCGGCCCGCGUCUGAUUAGCUGGUUGGUGGGGUAAUGGCCCACCAAGGCGACGAUCAGUAGCUGGUCUGAGAGGACGAUCAGCCACACUGGGACUGAGACACGGCCCAGACUCCUACGGGAGGCAGCAGUGGGGAAUCUUGCGCAAUGGGCGAAAGCCUGACGCAGCGACGCCGCGUGAGGGAAGAAGGCCUUCGGGUUGUAAACCUCUUUCAGGAGGGACGAAGCCACUCAGGUUAAUAGCCGAGAGGGUGACGGUACCUCCAGAAGAAGCCCCGGCUAACUACGUG
RNAcentral lists this ribosomal RNA (404 nucleotides) under uncultured bacterium. RNAcentral describes it as "bacterial SSU rRNA". It matches the Rfam family "Bacterial small subunit ribosomal RNA", at positions 92 to 507 of the family's 1533-position model. The record is from RNAcentral.